Molecule: small nucleolar RNA, 137 nt
Filed under: Octodon degus (degu)
Lineage: Eukaryota; Metazoa; Chordata; Mammalia; Rodentia; Octodontidae
Source: RNAcentral
UUGGCCCUGAAUCAAGGCCAGCAGUUUGCUGUAGCUGCUGCUUUCAAGCAGGAGCCUAAAGAGAAGUCUUUCUACGGUCUGUUGGCCAUUUCAGAACUUUGGAGAUGAAAUGGUCAAUUCCUUAGAAAGAAACAGCU